AUGAACGGCGGCGGCGGCGGCGACGGCGGGAGGAGCAGGGAGCUGGAGAGGCUGCGGGCGGAGAGGGACGAGCUAGACGCCCGCAUACGGCUGCUAGAGUCGGAGCUCGAGGCCGGCUCCGCCGCUCCGGUCUCUCCCGAGGCGGGGGUGGGAGACGGCGGGUGCGUCGGCGGUGGCGGCGCGUGCCAGGCGCGCCCUGGGCUGGCGCAUGCCGAUUCCCUCCCGGCCGACAUGAUCUACCGGUACAGCCGCCACCUCCUCCUCCCGGACUUCGGGGUCGAAGGCCAGCGGAAGCUCUCCCGGUCAUCGAUUCUGGUGGUCGGCGCCGGAGGAUUGGGCUCGCCCGUGGCGCUGUAUCUAGCAGCUUGCGGUGUUGGGGUCUUGGGCAUUGUCGAUGGUGAUGAUGUUGAGCUUAACAACCUUCAUCGACAGAUAAUCCACCAAGAAGCAUACAUUGGAAGAUCGAAAGUGAAGUCAGCAGCUGAUACUUGCCGCGCGAUUAAUUCAUCUAUCAAGGUGGUAGAACAUCAUCAUACUUUGAAGCCAAGCAACGCUUUGGAGGUUGUGAGGAAAUAUGACAUAGUUGUUGAUGCAACUGACAACCUUCCUACGCGGUACAUGAUCAGUGAUUGUUGUGUAUUGCUAAACAAGCCUCUUAUAUCUGGUGCAGCAUUAGGUUUAGAAGGACAGUUGACUGUUUAUCAUCAUAACGGAAGCCCAUGCUACCGGUGUCUUUUCCCAAAUCCACCACCAGUGGCAGCUUGCCAGAGAUGCUCAGACAGCGGUGUUCUUGGGGUUGUUCCGGGAGUGAUUGGCUGCCUGCAAGCCCUAGAGGCUAUAAAGGUUGCAAGUGAUGUUGGUGAACCUCUAAGUGGAAGAAUGCUGCUCUUUGACGCGCUAUCUGCUCGUAUUCGAAUUGUUAAGAUUCGAGGAAGCUCGCCUACUUGUACCAUUUGUGCAGAAAAUUCAGUUUUCACGCAAGAAGAUUUUCAGAAGUUUGAUUAUGAGACCUUCACACAAUCCCCAAUGUCUGACAAGACGGCACCGACCCUGAACCUGCUACCAGAAAGUGCCCGCAUCACUUGUACAGAGUACAAAGGGCUGAUCGACAAGGGGGAACCUCACGUGCUGUUGGAUGUACGGCCUGCUCAUCAUUUCCAAAUAGUUUCACUUUCCCGGUCUCUGAACAUACCACUCUCCGUUCUGGAGGAGAAGCUGCCUAUGCUCGAGACCUCAAUGAAGGAAACUAUGGAUGCCUCCGCCGCCUCAGAUAAACAGCCUUCCUUGUACGUCGUCUGCAGAAGAGGCAACGACUCACAGAGCGCUGUCCAGCUUCUCCGCGAGAAGGGCUUUCACUCCGCCAAGGACAUAGUCGGUGGCCUGCAGUCUUGGGCACAUGACGUCGAUCCUGAUUUCCCCGCAUACUAG
RNAcentral lists this ribosomal RNA (1428 nucleotides) under Triticum aestivum (bread wheat). RNAcentral describes it as "partial small subunit ribosomal RNA". Lineage: Eukaryota; Viridiplantae; Streptophyta; Magnoliopsida; Poales; Poaceae. The record is from RNAcentral.